AUACGGAGGGUCCAAGCGUUAUCCGGAUUCACUGGGCGUAAAGCGCGCGCAGGCGGUCUUUUAAGUUGGAUGUGAAAGCCUACGGCUCAACCGUAGAACUGCAUCCAAAACUAUUAGACUAGAGUGUGGGAGAGGAAGAUGGAAUUAGUUGUGUAGGGGUAAAAUCCGUAGAGAUAACUAGGAAUACCAAAAGCGAAGGCAAUCUUCUGGAACACUACUGACGCUGAGGCGCGAAAGCGUGGGGAGCAAACAGGAUUAGAAACCCCAGUAGUCC
Molecule: ribosomal RNA, 274 nt
Filed under: uncultured bacterium
Lineage: Bacteria
Description: partial 16S ribosomal RNA
Rfam family: Bacterial small subunit ribosomal RNA
Source: RNAcentral